RNAcentral lists this ribosomal RNA (498 nucleotides) under uncultured bacterium. RNAcentral describes it as "partial 16S ribosomal RNA". It matches the Rfam family "Bacterial small subunit ribosomal RNA", at positions 30 to 523 of the family's 1533-position model. The record is from RNAcentral.
AUUGAACGCUGGCGGCAUGCCUUACACAUGCAAGUCGAACGGUAACAGGUCUUCGGAUGCUGACGAGUGGCGAACGGGUGAGUAAUACAUCGGAACGUGCCUAGUAGUGGGGGAUAACUACUCGAAAGAGUGGCUAAUACCGCAUGAGAUCUACGGAUGAAAGCAGGGGAUCACAAGACCUUGUGCUACUAGAGCGGCCGAUGGCAGAUUAGGUAGUUGGUGGGAUAAAAGCUUACCAAGCCGACGAUCUGUAGCUGGUCUGAGAGGACGAUCAGCCACACUGGGACGGUGAGACGGCCCAGACUCCUACGGGAGGCAGCAGUGGGGAAGUUUGGACAAUGGGCGAAAGCCUGAUCCAGCAAUGCCGCGUGCAGGAUGAAGGCCUUCGGGUUGUAAACUGCUUUUGUACGGAACGAAAAGCCCUGGGUUAAUACCCUGGGGUCAUGACGGUACCGUAAGAAUAAGCACCGGCUAACUACGUGCCAGCCGCCGCCGUAA